RNAcentral lists this long non-coding RNA (3319 nucleotides) under Citrus x clementina. Its description in RNAcentral is "Citrus clementina (C. clementina) long non-coding RNA (CCLE_LNC001737)". Lineage: Eukaryota; Viridiplantae; Streptophyta; Magnoliopsida; Sapindales; Rutaceae. The record is from RNAcentral.
AAAAAAUAAUUCGAAAAUCACUAUUUGAAAGAGCAGUUUUUAACUGCAAAUUUUUAAUCAUUGAUAAUGUGCACAUUCGGAGGUCCUAAUUCUUUGGUCCUCCUAAUUGGUGGACCUUUUUUCAUGUCACCCAGUCUUUGUUUUGGCUUCUCUUUGUUUGAACAUAUGGUCCCAGCUAUCUUGUCAAACGCGUGUAAAAUGAACAUACAGUUAAAGACUUUGAAUCUGAUGAAAAAAGAAAGACAUCAUUGUGGUCCCAGCCAUCUUGUCAAACGCGUGUAAUAUGAACAUACAGUUAAAGACUUUGAAUCUGAAGAAAAAAGAUGCCAUCAUGUGGUUCAAUAGUAACUUUGUGAUCUGCCUUUCCCGUUUUACAAAGUUUACGUGUAAAAUGAACAUCAGAAUGAUAAAGGUUUCGAGUACUUGUGCCAUUUUUAACAAAAUUUCAAAAUUAACCCUUUAUGUUUCCUUUAAUAGCAAUGAAGCUACGUGCUAAAAAGUUUGCCGUAUAGUUUUUUUAAAGCUUUCAAAAUUUAUAUUUUCAAAAUGGAGCUGGCUAAGUUACAGAUUCUGUAACAUACAGAUCCAACUUAGCCAGCUCCUGAUUGGUUAGCUAGCUACCAAACAAAAACAAUUGCACGCUUUUUCUCCAUAUGCAGGACAGGUGUGGUGCAUGCAUUGGGUGCGUAUGUUACAGAAUCUGUAAGGUAGACAGGUCCUUUCAAAAUGUAACAGUUAUACUUUUCUUAGCUUUUUCUUCUGAGCAAAUUGAUAGUGGCCAACAUUAUAUUUUGAAAAUGACAAAUCAAAUUAAGGGGAAAAAAAGGAGAAAAAGAAGAAAGAUGAUGUCCUUGUUUUGAGUCUGAACUUGUCCUCAUAUGUUUGAAUUUACAACUCUCAGGGCUAGGUGAAGCUCGCAUAUAAAGGCAAGCCAAGGAAAAAUAGGAAAUUGCCUUCUCACUAGUAGAAAUGAGUACCCACUCUGUUUAUUUUUCAUCCAUUUUUCUUUUUAAUCAUACCGUCGCAAGUUGCAGCCUUUGAGGAGGGAGAUCGUGCUGCCCUGCAGGCCUUUAAGUCAAUGAUUUGUCAUGGCCCUCAAGGAAUCGGGAACGCAUGGAAUGAUACUAGCCAUUUCACGGAAUUGAAGGGCAUUACAUGGGGUCGCAGGCACAGAAGUCACAACCCUAGACUUGAUGUCAAAAGCAUGAUUCUCAUUUGUGUAAAUUUUGAGUCAUUAAUUCAUUAAGUUGUUAAUCUUAUUUUUUUAUCUUUCUACUUAAUCUAAAAAGAAUUAAUAUUAUCAUUUAUUGAUAUUCUCCAAAACAUCCUUAUCCAAUUAAUUAAUUUUCAUCUCUAUAAAAUUUAAUAAUUAGAAUUAUUAUCCAUCUCUAUAACUUGUGAUAAUAUAGUAAUUUACUCUUAUUAUUUUUGUCUUUUUAUUUUCUUCAAAUUAGCAUUAUUUAUCUUCAUAACUUUUUGAAUUAAACUACAAUGAAAUUGAUUAACAUAUACUGAUAAAGAAUAUUAGAGAAUUAUAUUUAAUUGAGCAUGAUUUAUGUUACGAUAAUUUAUUAUCUUAUUUAUAUUCCUUGAGAUGUUUAUUAUUUAUUUCAUAUUUCUAAUCUGAAAGGGGACAAAUGUAAACAUACUAGUUUUUAGAUUUUUUAAGUUGAAAAAAUAAUUUGACACAUACUUUUUAGUCAUUCACAAAAAUAAACAUAUUAUUCAGGUUCUGACAUUUAAACUACUCAAAAUUAAGACUAAUACAGGUGUGUUAAUAAAAAAGAAAACUUAAAUCCAUAACUCAUAAAUCAUUGAUGAUUCAAACAACUAAAAAUUAUAAUACUAAACUUUCUCUGAAGUCUUAGUUAAUUAAUAGGAUGCUUAAAUUAAAGAAUCCGGUGUUAAAAAGGUAAAUUUGUAAGCUUUUGUUUGCUUUAUUUUCCUUAUUUAUUAUUUUAGUUUGAAACAAUUAUUUUCUUCAAUUCAUUGUUUCUUGUAACAACUUGUUGAUUACCAACUCAUUACAAUUUUAUAACAAUUUUUAAAAUAAUAAAAAAUAUGUGAAAGCCAGGCCAAUAACGGUCCGACCCAAGCCCGACCCUAAUGCUUCUGCUUACCUGGACUUGAAGCCUGGACCCGCAAUUUGCCAUUGUUAUUUGUAACCACACUAAAUGAUAAAAUUGACUUAAAUUUUUUCAUUCUCAUGGUGCUAUUUUGCUUUCAUAUAUGGCUUAACCACGAAAAGAUAAUUAAUUUACAUGAAUUCCAAUAGACUUGAUUGUGAAAAAUAUAUCAGCAAAAUCCAAAAGUUUGAAGCCUAAUCCAACCAUUAACAGUGCUUCAACAGGUGUUGAUGACAAAGAAAACAAGGAGAUGAGUUAGGAAAAAAAAUCAAAGAAAAUGAUCAUACAGUGAAUAGAUUCAGGGAUUUUUUUUUCUUUUUGGUCUCGCAAUUUACGUUAUGGAUAUUUUUAAGAAUCCAAAAUAUUUUUUGAAAAUAAGUUUUUUAAAUAAUUUAAUGAGUUUCAAUAGCUCCAUCCGUAAAAAAAAAAAGUAAAAUUUAAAUUAUUCUUUUAUCACCAAUGUUUUUUAAAAUUUAAAUUUACGUAAUUAAUUAAAUAAAAUUAUUUAAAAAUCACUAUUGAAAAAAGCAGUUUUUAACCGUAAAUUUUUAAUCAUUGAUAAUGUGCACAUUCGGAGGUCCAAAUUCUUUGGUCCUUCUAAUUGGACCUUUUUUCAUUUCACCCAGUCUUUGUUUUGGCUUCUGUUGGUCUAAACUUAUGGUCCCAGCCAUCUUGUCAAACGCGUGUAAAAUGAACAUACAGUUAAAGACUUCGAAUCUGAAGAAAGAAAGAUGCCAUCAUGUGGUUCAAUAAUAACUUUAUGAUCUGCCUUUCCCGUUUUUCAAAUUUUACGUGUAAAAUGAACAUCAGAAUGAUAAAGGUUUCGAGUACUUGUGCCAUUUUUAACAAAAUUUCAAAAUUAACCCUUUAUGUUUCCUUUAAUAGCAAUGCAGCAGCGGGCUAAAACGUUUGCUGUACAGCUUUUUCAUAGCUUUCAAAAUGUAACAGUUAUAUUUUUCUUAGCUUUUUCUUGUGAGCAAAUUGAUAGUGGCCAACAUUUAUAUUUCGAAAAUGACAAAUCAAAAUUUUUUUUAAAUACUGUUAUACUGUUACUGAUAUAUACAUCAGGUAUUACAAUUAAUAUUUACAAACAGAUUCUAUAAUUGAAACCUUUUUCGUGGCAUGUACUCUUUUGAAGCGCUGCCCAAAUUCUUUAAAUCUUCUCAAAUAUUUGAGAGUUGUCUAUUCCACGC